This 534-nucleotide ribosomal RNA is filed under the name Alteromonas tagae. RNAcentral describes it as "bacterial SSU rRNA". It matches the Rfam family "Bacterial small subunit ribosomal RNA", at positions 90 to 626 of the family's 1533-position model. Lineage: Bacteria; Pseudomonadati; Pseudomonadota; Gammaproteobacteria; Alteromonadales; Alteromonadaceae. The record is from RNAcentral.
GACGAGUGGCGGACGGGUGAGUAAUGCUUGGGAACUUGCCUUUGCGAGGGGGAUAACAGUUGGAAACGACUGCUAAUACCGCAUAAUGUCUACGGACCAAACGGGGCUUAGGCUCCGGCGCAAAGAGAGGCCCAAGUGAGAUUAGCUAGUUGGUAAGGUAAAGGCUUACCAAGGCAACGAUCUCUAGCUGUUCUGAGAGGAAGAUCAGCCACACUGGGACUGAGACACGGCCCAGACUCCUACGGGAGGCAGCAGUGGGGAAUAUUGCACAAUGGGGGAAACCCUGAUGCAGCCAUGCCGCGUGUGUGAAGAAGGCCUUCGGGUUGUAAAGCACUUUCAGUUGUGAGGAAAAGUUAGUAGUUAAUACCUGCUAGCCGUGACGUUAACAACAGAAGAAGCACCGGCUAACUCCGUGCCAGCAGCCGCGGUAAUACGGAGGGUGCGAGCGUUAAUCGGAAUUACUGGGCGUAAAGCGCACGCAGGCGGUUUGUUAAGCUAGAUGUGAAAGCCCCGGGCUCAACCUGGGAUGGUCAU